Orbicella faveolata is the source of this 453-nucleotide long non-coding RNA. The record is from RefSeq and is a predicted model, not a curated record. NCBI's taxonomy places the organism in Eukaryota, Metazoa, Cnidaria, Anthozoa, Scleractinia, Merulinidae.
GUGAAUGUUUCCUUGCAGCUUCUUUCAGGGGAAGAACUUCAACAGGAGUUAAACAGCUAUCACUUAGUAGUGCUCAUGCUCUAAGACAGCAGUGGUUAUCGACCAGUGAUCAUAGAGGUCCUUCCAGGAUACAUUUACAACCCUCAGUACACAGUAUAAGACCAUCUCCUAGUGGUACUCAGGCUCCAAAGCGAAAAAGAUUAUCAGCUCAAGCUGAUAAAGGAUCUUUUGAAAGAGGAACUUCUGCAACAUCUCCAUUAAAGCGGCAUAGAUUAUCCAGGGAUAGUGAUACAGGUAAUAUCGUAAAUUAAAAGGUUUUAUUAAUGUCUUAAUUAUCCUAUAGUCAACACAUGCCAUGUUCACAUCAUGCAAUGCAAACAUGUCAUUAAUUCUGUUUGUGUGAAUUUACAGCUUAAAAACAAAACAGGUCCUCCUGAAUAGACUCGAAAAUUU